CGAAGUGAUGACGGGAAGCAGAAAGCCGAGAACAAGGCUCAUGAGGCAGAACAGUCUCCAAAGAAGGCCAAGUCUGAUGGUGACAACGGCUAUACAAAUGGAAAGUCCUCACAGAAUGUAGUUGCUGAGUAUGAGAAGCUCUGCACAGAGGUCAAAGACAACCUUUCGACCAAACAGAUGCGCGAAAUCUUGGAAGCUAAUGGCCAGGGCUCAUCCGGCUCUGGUGCCGCUAUUCUCCGAAAAUGACAGCCAAGACUUGCUGUUAUAUGGUCCACUAGAUAAAUGUCCAGCAUGCGAUGGCGAUUUGAAGUUCGAUGGGAUACGCUAUUCUUGUACUGGAUUUUAUAGUGAGUGGGCAACUUGUACAUUUGUCACAAAGGAUCCACCAAGGAAACAAGAGCCAAUCAAGUUGCCAGAUAGUGUCCUCAGCUCUCCUGUAUCCUAUUUGCUAAAGAAUUAUGAAGUCCCAAGUCGCCGGCCUCGUAAGGUUUUAAGCAUGCCAGAUAAGCCUUUUACUGGGAUGAUGAUGUCACUCAUGGGCCGUCUUAGUGCAUCUCAUGUAUGUAACCUGCGGUCAUGUUGUCUUACUGCAUUUGCCAAUAUACGGUGCUCACUGAUUAUGUAUUAAUAUUUGCAGCAAUACUGGAGAAAAAAAAUGGAAAAACAUGGAGGAAAAGUUGCCAACCAUGUGAUUGGUGUAACUUGCCUGAUUGCAUCCCCUGCGGAGAGAGACAGAAGUGGCACGGGUAAACUAGCCGAAGCAAUGUGCGUAAUGAUUUCUCUCUUUGGCCCUAAGCAUUGAACAUUUCUCUCGAGUUAUGCAAUAGGUCUUCUUGAGUGUGUUGCUAUUAUUGCUUCCCAUAAGGAGGAUGGUAUAUGUGGAUGUCGUUUCUACAAUGUCCAUUAAUUCGGUCCCCUUUUAGUUCCGCAAUGAGAGUAGCAAUGUUAUUGAGAAUAGCAGUCUUCUAGAAUUUUAAUUUGAAAGUAUGACUCGAGAGUUCUGAUCUUUUGCUGGGAAAGAGGCAUUCCUGUAGUAAGCGAAGCAUGGCUGAAAGACAGCAUCGAGAAACAAGAACCCCAGCCUCUUGAAGCAUAUGACAUUGUUAGUGAUCUUGCUCCCGAUGGUAGAGGAGUUCCAUGGGACAAAAUGGAUCCAAGCAAAGAGGCACUUGAGUCCCUUUCAACAGAAGUACCGAAUUUUUCCCUCAAAGAUAUCUAUAGACUCCGUUUGAAAUUUCAUGUUUGUAUUUAUAGCUGUAAUCACAACAAUAUCGUAUUGACUGCAGCUGAAGAUGUAUGGGAAGAGAAGUGUCCACAAGGAUAGUAAAUUGCAGGAGCAAGGCGGGAAAAUCUUUGAGAAAGAUGGCAUAUUGUACAACUGCGCUUUUUCUCGUUGUGAUAUAGGCAGAAAACUGAAUGAGUAAAUUAGACCUCCUCUUCAUCUAUCUGAAGUUAGAUGUGAUGAUGUCAAGUAGCCUUAAUUUUCAUGUUUCUUCUGCAGUUAUUGCAUCAUCCAACUUAUUACAGUACCAGAGAGCAACCUAAAUUUGUACUACAAGAAAGGGAAAGUUGGCGAUGACCCCAAUGCUGAGGAAAGGCUUGAAGAGUGGGAUAUUGUGGACGACCCUGUCAAGGAGUUUGUGAGGCUCUUUGAGGAAGCAACUGGAAAUAAGUUUGAACCAUGGGAAAGAAAGAAGAAAAUCCAGAAGAAGCCAUUGAAGUUUUACCCUAUAGACAUGGUAGCGCUACUCAUUUCCUUUUGUAUGCAGUGUUAUUCUGCCAUAUGAAAUGUUUGUUAUUCUGAACAGGAUGUGAGGCAGGGAUGGCUUGGGCUUCGCCAAUUGGGAUUUGCUGCCGCACAUUGCAAACUUGAGUCGAUGGUUGCAAAUUUCAUGAAGGUUUUAUGCAGUCAAGAGAUUCACAAGUAUGGUUCGGUUUCCAGUUAUUUGACUAUCUCUUGUCUUUUUACUCUGAAGUCCUCAAACCAGCUGUUUCAAAUGUAGAUAUGCUUUGAUGGAGAUGGGAUAUGACCCACCCGAACUUCCAAUGAGGAUGCUUUCCGACGUCCAUCUAAAACGAUGUAAGGAACUUCCUCGAACACGUGCCCUUGUCCCCCCUUUGACGUACUGAAAAAGGUGUGCAUUCAGGUGAGGAGGUUCUCCAGAAUUUCGUGGAGACACUGAAAUCAAUAAAGGAUGCAGUGCCGAAGGCUGUGGCUGUCUGGUCAGAUUUUAGCCAUGGUUCACCCUCAUGCACUCUACUAGGCCUUUUAUCUUCAAGGACCAUCAGGAACUUGCA
Non-coding RNA from Malus domestica (apple), 2298 nucleotides. The record is from RefSeq and is a predicted model, not a curated record. NCBI's taxonomy places the organism in Eukaryota, Viridiplantae, Streptophyta, Magnoliopsida, Rosales, Rosaceae.